This is a non-coding RNA of Stegodyphus mimosarum, 73 nucleotides long. Lineage: Eukaryota; Metazoa; Arthropoda; Arachnida; Araneae; Eresidae. The record is from Rfam.
GCCUUUGUGGUGUAGUGGUCAGCACGCUCGACUCGUAACCGAGAGGUCCGUAUUUCGAUUCCCGGUUAGGGCA